Molecule: non-coding RNA, 45 nt
Filed under: Schistosoma margrebowiei
Lineage: Eukaryota; Metazoa; Platyhelminthes; Trematoda; Strigeidida; Schistosomatidae
Source: RNAcentral
AUCCAGCUGACAAGUCUCAAACAGGACGAAACUCACGUCCUGGAU